UGCAGAGGAGAAGCAGAUGUCUAAUCGGUGGGUGAAGAGAUGGCUGGACGACCUCAAAGAUUUGGCUUACCAUGUGGAAGACAUCUUGGACGAUUUUCAAACUUACUCUUUGCAACGCCAAUUGAAGGGAGAAACUGAAGCCGGUUCAAGUAAGUUUCGGAAGCUCUCCCAUUCUGUGACAACGACCAUCAAUCCAGGAGCAAUCAUGUUGAUGAAGUUUAUCACUACCAGAUUUCAGGAGAUUGUAGUCCAGCAAAACGACUUGGAUUUGAUGAAGAAAAGUGUUGGAGGGACAUCCUAUAUUAAGGUAUGUGCGCGACAACCGAGUACAUGUUUGGAACGUGAACCUAGAGUGUAUGGCAGAGAUGAAGAUAA
RNAcentral lists this unclassified non-coding RNA (375 nucleotides) under Hevea brasiliensis (rubber tree). The record is from RNAcentral. Lineage: Eukaryota; Viridiplantae; Streptophyta; Magnoliopsida; Malpighiales; Euphorbiaceae.